CGCGAGUAUUCAGAGUUUGAUCCUGGCUCAGAUUGAACGCUGGCGGCAUGCCUUACACAUGCAAGUCGAACGGCAGCACGGGUGCUUGCACCUGGUGGCGAGUGGCGAACGGGUGAGUAAUGCAUCGGAACGUACCCUGGAGUGGGGGAUAACUAUCCGAAAGGAUAGCUAAUACCGCAUAUUCUAUGAGUAGGAAAGCGGGGGAUCUUCGGACCUCGCGCUCCGGGAGCGGCCGAUGUCAGAUUAGCUAGUUGGUGGGGUAAAGGCCUACCAAGGCUACGAUCUGUAGCGGGUCUGAGAGGAUGAUCCGCCACACUGGGACUGAGACACGGCCCAG
This 337-nucleotide ribosomal RNA is filed under the name uncultured bacterium. Its description in RNAcentral is "bacterial SSU rRNA". It matches the Rfam family "Bacterial small subunit ribosomal RNA", at positions 1 to 334 of the family's 1533-position model. The record is from RNAcentral.